CUUAAUGUUAUGACGGAGACCGGUAUUUUAUUUUAUAGUCUCAGAGAAUCGGUGGCUGGUGAAAACCGACACUAUAAUAAUAUACGUCUCACUCCCGAGCAGUGUCCUUGAACAGUUGAUUUCUUAUUAGAGGACAACGCCUGGCCCCGUUAAAGGCCUUAGCUUAUUUUAUCUUGGAAAGAGGUGUCCUUAUUUUAGGAUACAAUUAAGGUGGUACCGCGGGUGUUUUCUCGUCCUUGAA
This 241-nucleotide non-coding RNA is filed under the name Maledivibacter halophilus. RNAcentral describes it as "Clostridium halophilum T-box sequence". It matches the Rfam family "T-box leader". From Rfam's summary of the family: Uncharged tRNA acts as the effector for transcription antitermination of genes in the T-box leader family. T-boxes are found upstream of many aminoacyl-tRNA synthetase genes and some amino acid biosynthetic genes usually in Gram-positive bacteria. The record is from RNAcentral. Lineage: Bacteria; Bacillati; Bacillota; Clostridia; Peptostreptococcales; Caminicellaceae.